CCCCUAGACGUUCUGGGCUGCACGCGCGCUACAAUAAUACGCACAGCGAGUAUCACCGAGCUCGAAAGGGCAAGGUAAACAAUAGAAAAGGUACUGUAAUGGUUAUAGAUCCUUGUAAUUAUUGAUCUUCAACGAGGAAUUCCUAGUAAGUAUGUGUCAUCAUCGCGCACUGAUUACGUCCCUGCCCUUUGUACACACCGCCCGUCGCUCCUACCGAUUGAGUGAGCCGAUGAAACUGCCGGAUGUGGACUAUUCAUAGUCUGCAGAAGAUAUUUGAAUCGUAGCGCUUAGAGGAAGGAGAAGUCGUAACA
RNAcentral lists this ribosomal RNA (311 nucleotides) under uncultured eukaryote. Its description in RNAcentral is "partial 18S ribosomal RNA". It matches the Rfam family "Eukaryotic small subunit ribosomal RNA", at positions 1470 to 1796 of the family's 1831-position model. The record is from RNAcentral.